Molecule: ribosomal RNA, 460 nt
Filed under: uncultured bacterium
Lineage: Bacteria
Description: partial 16S ribosomal RNA
Rfam family: Bacterial small subunit ribosomal RNA
Source: RNAcentral
CCUACGGGUGGCAGCAGUGAGGAAUAUUGGUCAAUGGGCGAGAGCCUGAACCAGCCAAGUCGCGUGAAGGAUGACGGCCCUACGGGUUGUAAACUUCUUUUGUCAGGGAGCAAUUGGGUCCACGCGUGGGCUUAGCGAGAGUACCUGAAGAAAAAGCAUCGGCUAACUCCGUGCCAGCAGCCGCGGUAAUACGGAGGAUGCGAGCGUUAUCCGGAUUUAUUGGGUUUAAAGGGUGUGCAGGCGGAUUUUUAAGUCAGCGGUCAAAUCGUGGGGCUCAACCCCAUCCAGCCGUUGAAACUGGGGAUCUAGAGUGUGCGAGAGGUAUGCGGAAUGCGUGGUGUAGCGGUGAAAUGCAUAGAUAUCACGCAGAACCCCGAUUGCGAAGGCAGCAUACCGGUGCACAACUGACGCUCAGGCACGAAAGCGUGGGUAUCGAACAGGAUUAGAUACCCCAGUAGUC